UCGGGAUUAGCUUAGUUGGUAGAGCGUCGGACUCUGAAUCCGAAGGUCCUAGGUUCGAACCCUAGAUCCCGAG
Molecule: transfer RNA, 73 nt
Filed under: Candidatus Peribacteria bacterium
Lineage: Bacteria; Candidatus Peregrinibacteriota; Candidatus Peribacteria
Description: tRNA-Gln
Rfam family: tRNA
About the family: Transfer RNA (tRNA) molecules are approximately 80 nucleotides in length.
Source: RNAcentral